Long non-coding RNA from Pangasianodon hypophthalmus (striped catfish), 1658 nucleotides. RefSeq lists it as uncharacterized. The transcript is spliced from 3 exons. The record is from RefSeq and is a predicted model, not a curated record. Lineage: Eukaryota; Metazoa; Chordata; Actinopteri; Siluriformes; Pangasiidae.
UGGGGUGCUUUUGGGAAAAUGGAACAAGGCAAUGUAGCCCACAAAUCGGCUAGAAAUUCAGCAAUUCUAAAAUACAGCAUGUCCCAAAAGUCUCCAUACAUAGGGGAAAUUAACACUUUUUAGCAAAAUGUCUUCCAAAAUCUAAAAUCUCAUUUAUAUUAUAUAUUUUUUUUUUCAGAUAGCCUUUAAGAAUGCCUUUGACAAAAUAGGAACGUAUUGAAAUCAUUCUCAUGGCUGGAUCGGGAAGCUGUCGCAAGGUUGCGAUGGACUUUAACAGGAAACAUGGCAAGCACAUCCCACACGACACUGCUGCCAAACUUCAAAAAGACUGGAAGUGUUGAGGACCAACUGAGAAGUGGACGUCCACGACCAUCCGCUUACAAAGGCACAGCCAACAUGGUGCUGGCCUACAUGAAUGGAGACUUUUGGUAUACCCUGUAGUAAUUUUUUUUAAUGACAGUUUAGGAAUACCACCAAAUUAAUUAUGGUGAUAUACUAUUUGACAUAAAGGUCAAAUAAUCCUAAUAACAAAAAGAGCAGGAGCUUCAUUUCUCACGCGCCAUCUGUCAGCAACAAUGUCAUAUUAAUGAGAAAUCCAGUUAAAAUGUAGAAACAUUGGACUCAAAGUUCCACAAUGCAAUGCAAGUUACGGCAGAGACUCGGCUUGGCUAGUCAGUGAUCUAUGAGAUGACGAACACAACGGUAUUGACGGCGGUAUUAACGUGAAAGUUGAAGCUUUGGAACCUUGUCUGUUGGAGCAGAGUGUAGAGAUGAUGAGGUGAGAGAGACGGACAGAAUAGAGGACUAAAGCGCUGCUGCAUCGCUCUCUUUAGGUGAAGAUGAAUUCUCACUGGUGCCACUGUCAGCAGGUAGCCGAAUGAAACCGACUUGUUAUUGAUGUUUAAAAAAAAAAAACUCUGAAUUUAAUCAGAAAAUAAACCUUUCGGACAACUGAUGAUAAAUAUCGAUUUGCAAGUGGCUCCUGGUGGAUAGCUUGGAAUACGACGGCUCUACUUAUUCUACCUUCUGAAGGGGACAGUCUUUAUUUAAGCAGAUUCUAAAAUAGUCUGCCUAAGCGGAUUCUUACUUAAUGGUACGCAGGGUAAGUAAUAGUUAUUUUAAAGUGUCCAUGAGAGCAAUAUUGAUUGCAGACACAUGCCUAGUCUGCAGUACUCAGAGGCAAACGUCAACUCACAGCAGUUACAGUUUUAUUUAUACACACUGUCACUUAUAAAGGAAGCAGUAGCCAUAGAAUGGCCUGUGAGUUACUCCACUCGAAACUCCUUCAAUAAUCAGGAAAACUUGUUUACGUCUAUAUAUUAAAAUACAAUCUACGUGAAAGUGGGACUUGUGGGUAGAAAUCCAGCAAUGACAUAACAGCAUCACAACAAGACCACCUCUACACACUGUGCAUUCAUAUAAGAGUUCAAACUUCUCACAGAGGCAUAGUAGAAACUUCAUAAUUCUACAGGCAGCGAGAUUUGUCUUCACCUGCUUUGACCACUGAGCUUAAAAUAUUUAAGUUCCUCUGUCUCCAAAGCUACUUGAUGGCUGUUGAGGUAGAUGCUGCUGCGAGACACAAUGAGGCUGCUGGACCGUGAAGGCAGGGCGACGUCACAGUCUGCUCCCAUCUCCAUGCGCCUCAUCUGCGCCCCAGG